UUAAAACAUUUCUUCAGCAGAGUAAGAAUUUAACUUUACUUUCAGAGAGCCUAUGGCUGGUGUGAAUAGGCAGGAAGUGGUUCUGAAUAUGGGCUGAAUUGCUAAUGGCGAUAGCGAAUAAUUAACUAUCGACGGGGUUGCUCUCGUUAACAAGGCAAAGUAAUUCCAGUAGGAGCUACUUAGUGAGGCUAUUUGCGUAAGCAAGUAGUGAAUCAAAGGUGGUAACACGAAGCACUCGUCCUUUUU
RNAcentral lists this non-coding RNA (246 nucleotides) under Lactobacillus hominis. RNAcentral's name for it is "T-box sequence". It matches the Rfam family "T-box leader". Rfam says of the family: Uncharged tRNA acts as the effector for transcription antitermination of genes in the T-box leader family. The record is from RNAcentral. Lineage: Bacteria; Bacillati; Bacillota; Bacilli; Lactobacillales; Lactobacillaceae.